UCCCCCGUGGUGUAAUCGGCAACACAACCGACUUUGACUCGGUUAUUUCUGGUUCGAGUCCAGACGGGGGAGC
This 73-nucleotide transfer RNA is filed under the name Streptomyces smaragdinus. RNAcentral describes it as "Streptomyces sp. RB5 tRNA-Gln". It matches the Rfam family "tRNA". From Rfam's summary of the family: Transfer RNA (tRNA) molecules are approximately 80 nucleotides in length. Lineage: Bacteria; Bacillati; Actinomycetota; Actinomycetes; Kitasatosporales; Streptomycetaceae. The record is from RNAcentral.